This 843-nucleotide long non-coding RNA is filed under the name Manihot esculenta (cassava). RNAcentral describes it as "long non-coding RNA (MESC_LNC005732)". Lineage: Eukaryota; Viridiplantae; Streptophyta; Magnoliopsida; Malpighiales; Euphorbiaceae. The record is from RNAcentral.
AUGAAUUGAAAACACAGCCAAAUGAGUUUUUUUUCAAAGAAAUCAAAUGAGACCCACUCUCAUAUAUUUUGAGUUUAUAAUGAAUCGAAAGCCCUAAUUAAGUCUUUGUAAAAAUCUACAUCGCUUCUUUUGUCUUUCCCUGAUCAGAAGUUUCACCAUCUUGCAGUUUCAGGCUCACAAUUUUAUUACUUACAUUCCUGAUUCUAACAGAAUUGUGAAAGUAUUUGGUAUUCGAGUCCCCAAGAUGUAUCCAGUUCACCCUUGAUUUUUGCUUGUAGAACUCCUCUUCUUAUCUCAGAAGUCUCCUGUAUUGAUUCACAAAAGCCCUCUUCUCAUCCAGUAGGAUUUGGUUGAAAGGAUCGCUCUGUAAACCACUCUGGACUUCCUCCAACAUCUGUCUGUAUUUGUUUACCUAGUGAGAAAUAUCAGCAAAAUCUCUCUUGUUUAACUUCUUCAGCUCUUUCUUUAUACUCAUUAGCUUUUUCCACAAUUUAAGCAUGGCAGUUCCAUUUACUUUCAUUUGCUAGGAUUUUUAUAGUAUCACCUUAAAGUCAGGGUAUGAAACCUACAUCUUGAAGAAUCUAAAAGGCACGUUCCUCCUCUCUAAUUCCUUCCUAAUAGCCACAAUCAAUGGAGAAUGAUCUGAUAAACCAGGAGGAAGGGCGUCAUACUCUGAUAAGGCAUACUUCUCUAACCAGGCCAAGUUCACCAAGCAUCUGUCCAAUUUCUUCCAUAUUUUGCUCCCCAGCUCUUGAUUGUUUGCCCAUGUGUAGAAACACCCCUUGGACCUCAACUCUUCAAGCUAGCUGCAGAUACACAUUCAGUAAAAUCCUGGCUAGCUUG